Molecule: long non-coding RNA, 993 nt
Organism: Panicum virgatum (switchgrass)
Lineage: Eukaryota; Viridiplantae; Streptophyta; Magnoliopsida; Poales; Poaceae
Exons: 3
Source: RefSeq, a predicted model, not a curated record
GUGCCGGAGGGCUGUGGAAGCGAUAAGCUUCCGGAAGAAGGGGGCGACGAGAAGCUUCCUGAGGAGGAAGGCGGCGAGAAGCUGCCUGAAGAAACACCUAAAGAUUUCCAAAAUCCAGGGAAUACUUUAGAGAAGAUUGAAGAUGUGCCAGAAAAGGCAAUCUCUGAGGUGCGGGCGAGUGCUUCCCAGGUUUCAUCGGGAAGUGUCGUGCCGCAAGAGAAGCUAAAGCUUGCCUUCAAGCUGCUGGGGGUUAGUAGUCGAGUAUCUCGAGUACGUAUGUAUAGAUCGAGUAGUGUAUACUGAUUCUUUUGUUUUUACUUUAUGGUAAGAGGUAUUGGGGCAGGAGGGUAGCCAAGCCCAGGACGAUUCAGAGCUAAAUGCUUUAAGAGAGCGAGUGAAAACGCUCUCGUCCGAGAAGGCUGCCAUUCACGAGAAGAUCAAGAAACUCUCCAAAGCCAAGAAAGAUGAAAUCGAGAAGCUCAAGAAGAUCAAGGCGGAUUCUGACCAAGAGGUGGCAACUUGUCUUCAGCAGCUCAAAACUUUGUCAGAAUCCCGAGACUUGAUGCAGCAAGAGCUUGAAGAACUCAGAGAUGCUGCUCAAGAUGUGGCAGGACUUGUGGAGAUCCCGGAGGGGAAUGAAGAUGAACCGCUUACGCUGGUGGGGAGGCUUCGGAAAGUACCCGAGAGCUUCGAAAGGUACGUCUCCACAACCACCUGACAGUACAUGGGACAUGUACUCGGGUUGGUGAGGUCCUACUGGCCACGUACUCCCCUUGAUCCACAUGGGAAGGGCGCGAAGGCUGACUAUACUGAUGAACAAUUCAAUCAGUAAUGGAAGAAACCUCCGCUGUAGCAGACCAGAUAGUGGAGACUUUGAACAAGUCUGGGUCUCCCUGAACUACUUGUGAAAAUUGUUUGGCGUGUGGGCCACAAGUACUUUGAACAAAUGUUUAAUAUUUGUGUAAUGUCAAGUACUUGUUUUAUGGUAGGAUU